AUUGAACGCUGGCGGCAGGCCUAACACAUGCAAGUCGCGCGAGCGUCGGACGGGUGAGUAAUGUCUGGGAAACUGCCUGAUGGAGGGGGAUAACUACUGGAAACGGUAGCUAAUACCGCAUACCAUCAGAUGUGCCCAAAUGGGAUUAGCUAGUAGGUGGGGUAACGGCUCACCUAGGCGACGAGCCCUAGCCGGUCUGAGAGGAUGACCAGCCACACUGGAACGGCGCCACGGUCCAGACUCCGACGGGAGGCAGCAGUGGGGAAUAUGUCACAAUGGGCGAAAGCCUGAUGCAGCCAUGCCGCGUGUGUGAAGAAGGCCUUCGGGUUGUAAAGCACUUCAGCGGGGAGGCGUUACCCGCAGAAGAAGCACCGGCUAACUCCGUGCCAGCAGCCGCGGUAAUAC
Molecule: ribosomal RNA, 405 nt
Filed under: uncultured bacterium
Lineage: Bacteria
Description: partial 16S ribosomal RNA
Rfam family: Bacterial small subunit ribosomal RNA
Source: RNAcentral